AUUGAACGCUGGCGGCAUGCCUAACACAUGCAAGUCGAACGGAGUGGCGGACGGGUGAGUAAUGCAUAGGAAUCUGCCCGGUAGCGGGGGAUAACUUCCGGAAAGGGUCGCUAAUACCGCAUACUAUCAGAGCGGCCGAGGUCGGAUUAGCUAGUUGGUGGGGUAAAGGCCUACCAAGGCGACGAUCCGUAGCUGGUUUGAGAGGAGGACCAGCCACACGGGAACUGAGACACGGCCCAGACUCCUACGGGAGGCAGCAGGGGGGAAUAUUGGACAAUGGGGGAAACCCUGAUCCAGCCAUGCCGCGUGUGUGAAGAAGGUCUUCGGGUUGUAAAGUACUUUAAGUGGGGAGGCGUUACUAGCAGAAGAAGCACCGGCUAACUCCGUGCCAGCAGCCGCGGUAAUUC
Molecule: ribosomal RNA, 407 nt
Filed under: uncultured bacterium
Lineage: Bacteria
Description: partial 16S ribosomal RNA
Rfam family: Bacterial small subunit ribosomal RNA
Source: RNAcentral